UCUCUCUUCUUUCCAACCUUAUAUGCUUCUAUCUCACCUAAACAAGUCUUUAAUUUUCACUUUUGCAAAUAUUGUUCAAAGAACAUAGUAUACAAAUGUGAUGAGUCAAAUUCAAAAAUAUUUGCAGGUUGCUUAAACAAGAUCUCCAGCUUAGCACCUUGAAUGAAUAAUUUGUUGAGAAAAAGUGUCUUUCUUCAAUGGGGUGCGGGGAUCGGUAGUGGAGUCAAGUUUUUAGGCGCAAAUAUGGGUGAUUUGGUUAUUUGGAGUGCAAUGAAAAACAGGGAAAAGAGUUGUUGCACUUUUAUUUGAAGUAUAAAUUAGAACCAUAACUUUUAAUAUUUUUGAAAAAGAAGUUUAAUGUUGAUGUUAUUACACUUUUAAUAUUUUUGAAAUAGUGUGUUAUGGAUCUAUGUAGCUGGCUGAGUUGUGAGUUGAAUUGGAAAAAGUUGGACUGAAAAAAGUAGAAAACUUGUCGUACUAAAAGUUGAAUAUAUUAGUGUUAUUAGACCAUGUGCAAUGGUGGGUUGAUUUGAAGUCAACAUGGGAAAAUCAUGUGCAAUGGUGUGUGUAAAGUAGUGUUGAGUGUGUGUUGGAGGAGAGAGAUGUUGAGAAAACUCAACACCAUGUAAACUGACGCAGGGGCUGACGUGACAGUGGCUGAUUGGCCCAAAGCAGGCGUGUGGCUCUCACACGCUGGCAGUGAGAGUGGGCUUUAUCCCACGCGGAGAGAGAAAGAGAAAAGGGAUAAUUAAUGCCACUUGGCUGUUUGUGAUUGCCUGGCCAGAUUUUUAUCCAUUUAAUACUUUGGACUCAAUUAUU
Long non-coding RNA from Vicia villosa (hairy vetch), 819 nucleotides. RefSeq lists it as uncharacterized. NCBI's taxonomy places the organism in Eukaryota, Viridiplantae, Streptophyta, Magnoliopsida, Fabales, Fabaceae. The record is from RefSeq and is a predicted model, not a curated record. The transcript is spliced from 3 exons.